GAAGCGUCUGGAAAGGCGUGCGAUACAGGGUGACAGCCCCGUACACAAAAAUGCACAUAUUGUGAGCUUGAUGAGUAGGGCGGGACACGUGGUAUCCUGUCUGAAUAUGGGGGGACCAUCCUCCAAGGCUAAAUACUCCUGACUGACCGAUAGUGAACCAGUACCGUGAGGGAAAGGCGAAAAGAACCCCGGCGAGGGGAGUGAAAAAGAACCUGAAACCGUGUACGUACAAGCAGUGGGAGCACGCUUAGGCGUGUGACUGCGUACCUUUUGUAUAAUGGGUCAGCGACUUAUAUUCUGUAGCAAGGUUAACCGAAUAGGGGAGCCGAAGGGAAACCGAGUCUUAACUGGGCGUUAAGUUGCAGGGUAUAGACCCGAAACCCGGUGAUCUAGCCAUGGGCAGGUUGAAGGUUGGGUAACACUAACUGGAGGACCGAACCGACUAAUGUUGAAAAAUUAGCGGAUGACUUGUGGCUGGGGGUGAAAGGCCAAUCAAACCGGGAGAUAGCUGGUUCUCCCCGAAAGCUAUUUAGGUAGCGCCUCGUGAAUUCAUCUCCGGGGGUAGAGCACUGUUUCGGCAAGGGGGUCAUCCCGACUUACCAACCCGAUGCAAACUGCGAAUACCGGAGAAUGUUAUCACGGGAGACACACGGCGGGUGCUAACGUCCGUCGUGAAGAGGGAAACAACCCAGACCGCCAGCUAAGGUCCCAAAGUCAUGGUUAAGUGGGAAACGAUGUGGGAAGGCCCAGACAGCCAGGAUGUUGGCUUAGAAGCAGCCAUCAUUUAAAGAAAGCGUAAUAGCUCACUGGUCGAGUCGGCCUGCGCGGAAGAUGUAACGGGGCUAAACCAU
This 851-nucleotide ribosomal RNA is filed under the name Escherichia coli. RNAcentral describes it as "partial 23S ribosomal RNA". It matches the Rfam family "Bacterial large subunit ribosomal RNA", at positions 335 to 1190 of the family's 2925-position model. Lineage: Bacteria; Pseudomonadati; Pseudomonadota; Gammaproteobacteria; Enterobacterales; Enterobacteriaceae. RNAcentral also lists the same sequence under 1 other name. The record is from RNAcentral.